AGGAUAUUUGACCGAACGGCAAGGUGCUGGCCUGCAAAGCCAUGCUUACCGGGUUCGACUCCCGGAAUAACCUC
This 74-nucleotide transfer RNA is filed under the name Glutamicibacter sp. FBE19. RNAcentral's name for it is "tRNA-Cys". It matches the Rfam family "tRNA". From Rfam's summary of the family: Transfer RNA (tRNA) molecules are approximately 80 nucleotides in length. Lineage: Bacteria; Bacillati; Actinomycetota; Actinomycetes; Micrococcales; Micrococcaceae. The record is from RNAcentral.